CUCUGUAGCUCAGUCGGUAGAGCAAAGGACUGAAAAUCCUUGUGUCGCCAGUUCGAUUCUGGCUGGAGC
RNAcentral lists this transfer RNA (69 nucleotides) under Solobacterium moorei. It matches the Rfam family "tRNA". From Rfam's summary of the family: Transfer RNA (tRNA) molecules are approximately 80 nucleotides in length. The record is from RNAcentral. Lineage: Bacteria; Bacillati; Bacillota; Erysipelotrichia; Erysipelotrichales; Erysipelotrichaceae. RNAcentral also lists the same sequence under 1 other name.